This is a long non-coding RNA of Schistocerca piceifrons (Central American locust), 663 nucleotides long. RefSeq lists it as uncharacterized. Lineage: Eukaryota; Metazoa; Arthropoda; Insecta; Orthoptera; Acrididae. The record is from RefSeq and is a predicted model, not a curated record. The transcript has 2 exons.
AAAUACAGAAAUAUGUCUGCAAAGAAAUAGGAGCUUCCAAAUCAAGUAAACUAAUGAGGCUGGUGAAGAUAUGUUCUCUGCCUCUGGCUGACAGUGCACCUGACGUGUAAGAACGCGUUAGUGAAGAAAAUACUUAUAUCCGGAUUCCGUAAUGCAGCGUGAACGUUGACAGCCGCACAAAACCAAGAGAUGACAGCGUAUCCGGAAUCCCCGACGACGAAACAAGGCGUCGCCGAAAACGACGUGUCCAGCGGGCAGCGGCAGGACUCCAGCCGGCACCCAAGGCCGCGCCGUCCCUAUAAGAGCGGCCGCCGGCGCUCCGCACAGUAGUCACUGCAGACCGCGCACGACACACACCUCAAAGCACCAUGAAGGCUUUCGUCUGCUCUUUCCUCGUAGUCCUGCUGGUGGCGGCCGUGUUCGCCCAGGAGAAGGCCAAGGAGACCCUGAAGGGCGCCGAGGCCUACUACGCCUACGCCGCCCCCUACGCCUACAGCGCCUUCGGCUACCCCGCCGUCAGCGCCUACUCCGCCUACCCCUAUGCCGCCGCCGGCUACCCCUACUACUACCGCUAAGAAGACACAAAUUCUGACAUGAUGUCUCCUGUACUGAUUCUUCUGUUUGUCUCUUUUCUCUAAAUACAACUCUAUCACAAAACAAAAA